This 700-nucleotide ribosomal RNA is filed under the name uncultured bacterium. RNAcentral describes it as "bacterial SSU rRNA". It matches the Rfam family "Bacterial small subunit ribosomal RNA", at positions 8 to 713 of the family's 1533-position model. The record is from RNAcentral.
AGAGUUUGAUCAUGGCUCAGAUUGAACGCUGGCGGCAGGCCUAACACAUGCAAGUCGAGCGGGGGUAGCAAUACCCUAGCGGCGAACGGGUGAGGAAUACUUGGGAAUCUGCCUCGUAGUGGGGGAUAACGUUCCGAAAGGAACGCUAAUACCGCAUACGUCCUACGGGAGAAAGGGGGGGAUCUUCGGACCUCUCGCUAUGAGAUGAGCCCAAGUCGGAUUAGCUAGUUGGUGAGGUAAAGGCUCACCAAGGCGACGAUCCGUAGCUGGUCUGAGAGGAUGAUCAGCCACACUGGAACUGAGACACGGUCCAGACUCCUACGGGAGGCAGCAGUGGGGAAUAUUGGACAAUGGGGGAAACCCUGAUCCAGCCAUGCCGCGUGUGUGAAGAAGGCCUUCGGGUUGUAAAGCACUUUAAGCGAGGAGGAAGGUCCGUUGGUUAAUAACCAGCGGAAUUGACGUUACUCGCAGAAUAAGCACCGGCUAACUCUGUGCCAGCAGCCGCGGUAAUACAGAGGGUGCAAGCGUUAAUCGGAAUUACUGGGCGUAAAGCGCGCGUAGGCGGUUGUGUAAGUUGGAGGUGAAAUCCCCGGGCUUAACCUGGGCACUGCCUUCAAAACUGCACGGCUAGAGUAUGGGAGAGGAAGGUAGAAUUCCAGGUGUAGCGGUGAAAUGCGUAGAGAUCUGGAGGAAUACCGAU